Molecule: ribosomal RNA, 1292 nt
Filed under: Escherichia coli
Lineage: Bacteria; Pseudomonadati; Pseudomonadota; Gammaproteobacteria; Enterobacterales; Enterobacteriaceae
Description: partial 23S ribosomal RNA
Rfam family: Bacterial large subunit ribosomal RNA
Source: RNAcentral
CGUAGUCGAUGGGAAACAGGUUAAUAUUCCUGUACUUGGUGUUACUGCGAAGGGGGGACGGAGAAGGCUAUGUUGGCCGGGCGACGGUUGUCCCGGUUUAAGCGUGUAGGCUGGUUUUCCAGGCAAAUCCGGAAAACCAAGGCUGAGGCGUGAUGACGAGGCACUACGGUGCUGAAGCGACAAAUGCCCUGCUUCCAGGAAAAGCCUCUAAGCAUCAGGUAACAUCAAAUCGUACCCCAAACCGACACAGGUGGUCAGGUAGAGAAUACCAAGGCGCUUGAGAGAACUCGGGUGAAGGAACUAGGCAAAAUGGUGCCGUAACUUCGGGAGAAGGCACGCUGAUAUGUAGGUGAAGCGACUUGCUCGUGGAGCUGAAAUCAGUCGAAGAUACCAGCUGGCUGCAACUGUUUAUUAAAAACACAGCACUGUGCAAACACGAAAGUGGACGUAUACGGUGUGACGCCUGCCCGGUGCCGGAAGGUUAAUUGAUGGGGUUAGCGGCAACGCGAAGCUCUUGAUCGAAGCCCCGGUAAACGGCGGCCGUAACUAUAACGGUCCUAAGGUAGCGAAAUUCCUUGUCGGGUAAGUUCCGACCUGCACGAAUGGCGUAAUGAUGGCCAGGCUGUCUCCACCCGAGACUCAGUGAAAUUGAACUCGCUGUGAAGAUGCAGUGUACCCGCGGCAAGACGGAAAGACCCCGUGAACCUUUACUAUAGCUUGACACUGAACAUUGAGCCUUGAUGUGUAGGAUAGGUGGGAGGCUUUGAAGUGUGGACGCCAGUCUGCAUGGAGCCGACCUUGAAAUACCACCCUUUAAUGUUUGAUGUUCUAACGUUGGCCCCUAAUCGGGGUUGCGGACAGUGUCUGGUGGGUAGUUUGACUGGGGCGGUCUCCUCCUAAAGAGUAACGGAGGAGCACGAAGGUUGGCUAAUCCUGGUCGGACAUCAGGAGGUUAGUGCAAUGGCAUAAGCCAGCUUGACUGCGAGCGUGACGGCGCGAGCAGGUGCGAAAGCAGGUCAUAGUGAUCCGGUGGUUCUGAAUGGAAGGGCCAUCGCUCAACGGAUAAAAGGUACUCCGGGGAUAACAGGCUGAUACCGCCCAAGAGUUCAUAUCGACGGCGGUGUUUGGCACCUCGAUGUCGGCUCAUCACAUCCUGGGGCUGAAGUAGGUCCCAAGGGUAUGGCUGUUCGCCAUUUAAAGUGGUACGCGAGCUGGGUUUAGAACGUCGUGAGACAGUUCGGUCCCUAUCUGCCGUGGGCGCUGGAGAACUGAGGGGGGCUGCUCCUAGUACG